CAAAGACUCAACAAAAGCUUUCUCAUCUCUGCUUGACUCCUAAUUAUUCUGUAAAGGGUCUCGUUGCUAGUUGGUGUGAACAGAAUGGAGUCCCAGCACCUGAUGGUCCCCCUGAGUCUCUUGACCUCAACUAUUGGAGGCUGGCAAUGUCCCAGCUUGACUCCUAAUUAUUCUGUAAAGGGUCUCGUUGCUAGUUGGUGUGAACAGAAUGGAGUCCCAGCACCUGAUGGUCCCCCUGAGUCUCUUGACCUCAACUAUUGGAGGCUGGCAAUGUCCCAGUUUGACUCGUCCAAUUCAAGAAGAUCAGUGGAGAGUGUCAGAUCUGGAAAGUUGAAAGGGGUCAAGGUAGUUCCUCUGGAGGAAAGUGAUCCCAUUGAGGAGGCUGAAGAAAAAAAUGAAAAAUUGUCACCGCAACAGGAAGAUUCCAUGCCAGAAGAUGCCUUCGGGGACAAUAUAUUUGAAAUAUAUAAGAAUUUCCUGGCCAUUUUGAAUGGUGAUGAAGAGUUGAAGAA
This 512-nucleotide long non-coding RNA is filed under the name Populus tremula. RNAcentral describes it as "long non-coding RNA (PTRE_LNC002825)". Lineage: Eukaryota; Viridiplantae; Streptophyta; Magnoliopsida; Malpighiales; Salicaceae. The record is from RNAcentral.